GACGAAGGAUGCAAGCGUUAUCCGGAUUCAUUGGGCUUAAAGGGAGCGUAGGUGGCCAAAUAAGUCAGUGGUGAAAUCCUGUUGCUUAACAACAGAAUUGCCAUUGAUACUGUAUGGCUUGAGUAUAGUUGCCGUUGGCGGAAUAUGACAUGUAGUGGUGAAAUACAUAGAGAUGUCAUAGAACACCGAUUGCGAAGGCAGCUGACGAAACUAUAACUGACACUGAGGCUCGAAAGUGCGGGGAUCAAACAGG
Molecule: ribosomal RNA, 253 nt
Filed under: uncultured bacterium
Lineage: Bacteria
Description: partial 16S ribosomal RNA
Rfam family: Bacterial small subunit ribosomal RNA
Source: RNAcentral